CUAACACAUGCAAGUCGAGCGAGAAGUACCUAUGACCCUUCGGGGGAUUAGACUAGUGGACAGCGGCGGACGGGUGAGUAACGCGUAAAUAACCUGCCAUACACACAAUGAUAGCCAUCGGAAACGGUGAUUAAUACUUGAUGAGGCUACAGAUUCGCAUGAAUCAGUAGUUAAAGAAUUUUGGUGUAUGAUGGAUUUGCGUUUGAUUAGCUAGUUGGUAAGGUAAAAGCUUACCAAGGCGAUGAUCAAUAGCCGGCCUGAGAGGGUGAACGGCCACACUGGAACUGAGACACGGUCCAGACUCCUACGGGAGGCAGCAGUGGGGAAUAUUGCCACAAUGGAGGAAACUCUGAUGCAGCAACGCCGCGUGAACGAAGGAGGCUUUCGAGUCGUAAAGUUCUGUUAUAGGGGAAGAAGCAGUGACGGUACCCUAUGAGAAAGCCACGGCUAAUUACGUGCCAGCAGCCGCGGUAAUACGUAAGUGGCAAGCGUUAUCCGGAAUUACUGGGCAUAAAGAGUUCGUAGGCGGUCAAUCAAGCCAAUAGUGAAAUCCAUCGGCCUAACCGAUGUAAGCUAAUGGAACUGAGUGACUUGAGUACAGGAGAGGAAAGUGGAAUUCCUAGUGUAGUAGUGAAAUGCGUAGAUAUUAGGAAGAACAUCAGUAGCGAAGGCGACCUUCUGGACUGUAACUGACGCUGAGGAACGAAAGCGUGGGGAGCGAACCAGGAUUAGAUACCCCAGUAGUCC
This 747-nucleotide ribosomal RNA is filed under the name uncultured organism. Its description in RNAcentral is "bacterial SSU rRNA". It matches the Rfam family "Bacterial small subunit ribosomal RNA", at positions 48 to 796 of the family's 1533-position model. The record is from RNAcentral.